This 1056-nucleotide long non-coding RNA is filed under the name Sus scrofa (pig). RNAcentral's name for it is "lncRNA (ENSSSCG00070006823.1)". Lineage: Eukaryota; Metazoa; Chordata; Mammalia; Artiodactyla; Suidae. The record is from RNAcentral.
AUGAACUUCAUCAGACUCCGCGGGUCUCAUUACCAUCCAUCAGCAGCCAGCCCGCCCCUGGGGGGCCGGGGGGGGGCUCCACCUAAGCCAUGGCGCUCAGCCCAGCUUUGCCUCCUGCCUCGCUCCCCAGGGACCCGAGAAGCAGCCGCCAGCCAGCGGUGGGGGCGGGAAGCCAGCAUCUCCCACCAGGGCCGGCCGCCGGGCAGCUGUGGGUCUCUGGCCAGGGGCCUGGAUGGUGGGGGCCUCCCAGAGAAACACAGCCAACCUGCUCUCUCUCUCUGCCCCCACUCCCCGCCCGGACAAGCAGCUACUGGCUGGCACCCACCCCCAACCCCUGUCGAGCUCACCCUGCCCUGCUGGGCCCAGCACGGGACAAGGGGCCUCCUCGGGCAGAAAGGGCUCGUCUUCCACCUGGUGGAGCUCCUGGGGCAGGUGCCAGGGGUGGGGGGCAGGGAGACCUUUAGGAGGGGAAGCAGUUCUGGAGGCAUCGGGCUGUGCCAAGGUCAGGCGAGGGAUGGGGGUGGGCGGGGGACAGGAACCCCACAGCCUAGCCUGGCUGAGCGGCCAGGCGCAGAGCAGGCCUGCUCCAAAGGUCAUCUCCCAUCUUCCCCUGGUCCCUUCCCAAAGAACCCCCAGGACACGGAAAAGGCCCACAAGGCUUGGGCCCGCCUGUCCUGUGACUCCCGUCCUGCAUCUGAGGGACCAGUUUCAAGUCACUCCCCUCCUCCAGCCAGGCUUGGGGCCCCUUGGGAGCGGCUGGGCUUCACCAAGGCCCCAGAUGAAGGCUGCUGGGCGUUCAGCAUCCCACCUGCACGCCUGGCCGCAAGCUCUCGGCCCUUCUGUGAGCUGAGCUGCCACGCGCAUGAGAAGCGAGAGCGAGACCCAAGGGACAGGGGGACAGGUAAAGGAAAUCCUUUCCCACGACAACACUGGAGGCCACUGGUUCAGGGCCUGCUCAGUGGGCCCGGUAUGAGCAACGGGAGGAGAAUUGGCGCUAUUGCUGGUUCUGUUUAUAGGUGUGGAAAUCAAAGUUCAGAGAGGUUGAGAAUGGCGUGA